This 766-nucleotide ribosomal RNA is filed under the name Staphylococcus aureus. RNAcentral's name for it is "bacterial SSU rRNA". It matches the Rfam family "Bacterial small subunit ribosomal RNA", at positions 28 to 776 of the family's 1533-position model. Lineage: Bacteria; Bacillati; Bacillota; Bacilli; Caryophanales; Staphylococcaceae. The record is from RNAcentral.
GAUGAACGCUGGCGGCGUGCCUAAUACAUGCAAGUCGAGCGAACGGACGAGAAGCUUGCUUCUCUGAUGUUAGCGGCGGACGGGUGAGUAACACGUGGACAACCUACCUAUAAGACUGGGAUAACUUCGGGAAACCGGAGCUAAUACCGGAUAAUAUUUUGAACCGCAUGGUUCAAAAGUGAAAGACGGUCUUGCUGUCACUUAUAGAUGGAUCCGCGCUGCAUUAGCUAGUUGGUAAGGUAACGGCUUACCAAGGCAACGAUGCAUAGCCGACCUGAGAGGGUGAUCGGCCACACUGGAACUGAGACACGGUCCAGACUCCUACGGGAGGCAGCAGUAGGGAAUCUUCCGCAAUGGGCGAAAGCCUGACGGAGCAACGCCGCGUGAGUGAUGAAGGUCUUCGGAUCGUAAAACUCUGUUAUUAGGGAAGAACAUAUGUGUAAGUAACUGUGCACAUCUUGACGGUACCUAAUCAGAAAGCCACGGCUAACUACGUGCCAGCAGCCGCGGUAAUACGUAGGUGGCAAGCGUUAUCCGGAAUUAUUGGGCGUAAAGCGCGCGUAGGCGGUUUUUUAAGUCUGAUGUGAAAGCCCACGGCUCAACCGUGGAGGGUCAUUGGAAACUGGAAAACUUGAGUGCAGAAGAGGAAAGUGGAAUUCCAUGUGUAGCGGUGAAAUGCGCAGAGAUAUGGAGGAACACCAGUGGCGAAGGCGACUUUCUGGUCUGUAACUGACGCUGAUGUGCGAAAGCGUGGGGAUCAAACAGG